This 74-nucleotide transfer RNA is filed under the name Peptostreptococcaceae bacterium. Its description in RNAcentral is "tRNA-Phe". It matches the Rfam family "tRNA". From Rfam's summary of the family: Transfer RNA (tRNA) molecules are approximately 80 nucleotides in length. Their secondary structure includes four short double-helical elements and three loops (D, anti-codon, and T loops). Lineage: Bacteria; Bacillati; Bacillota; Clostridia; Peptostreptococcales; Peptostreptococcaceae. The record is from RNAcentral.
GGUGAUAUAGCCAAGUGGUAAGGCAGAGGUUUAAAACUCCUUAAUCCUCAGUUCGAAUCUGAGUGUCACCUCCA